Molecule: ribosomal RNA, 468 nt
Filed under: uncultured bacterium
Lineage: Bacteria
Description: partial 16S ribosomal RNA
Rfam family: Bacterial small subunit ribosomal RNA
Source: RNAcentral
GACGAACGCUGGCGGCGUGCUUAACACAUGCAAGUCGAACGGAAAGGCCAUGAUCUUGCUCCGUCCUCGUCAGGGGCAAACGUGUGAGUAACACGUGUACAAUCUGCUUCUAACUCUGGUAUAAUCUUGGGACUCGGGAUCUAAUACCGUAUACGACGCUGAAGCGCGGCGUGGCCUGGUGAAAAACUGCGGUUGGGGAUGUAAUCGCGGCUUAUCAGCUUGUUGGGGAGGUAGUGGCUGACCAAGGUUAUGAGGGGUAGCCGGCCUGAGAGGGUGACCGGCCACACUGGGACUGAGAUACGGCCCAGACUCCUACGGGAGGCAGCAGUGGGGAAUAUUGCACAAUGGGCGCAAGCCUGAUGCAGCAACGCCGCGUGCGGGAAGACGGCCUUCGGGUUGUAAACCGCUUUCGGCAGGGACGAAGCGAAAGUGACGGUACCUGCAGAAAAAGCACCGGCUAACUACGUG